GGGGGAUAUUGCACAAUGGAGGAAACUCUGAUGCAGCGACGCCGCGUGAGGGAAGAAGGUCUUCGGAUUGUAAACCUCUGUCUUUGGGGACGAAGAAAGUGACGGUACCCAAAGAGGAAGCCACGGCUAACUACGUGCCAGCAGCCGCGGUAAUACGUAGGUGGCGAGCGUUGUCCGGAAUUACUGGGUGUAAAGGGUGCGUAGGCGGACUGGCAAGUUGGAUGUGAAAUCUCCGCGCUUAACGUGGAGGUUGCAUUCAAAACUGUUUGUCUUGAUGGAGGCAGAGGCAGGCGGAAUUCCCGGUGUAACGGUGAAAUGCGUAGAGAUCGGGAGGAACACCAGUGGCGAAGGCGGCCUGCUGGGCCUUAACUGACGCUGAGGCACGAAAGCAUGGGUAGCAAACA
This 404-nucleotide ribosomal RNA is filed under the name uncultured bacterium. Its description in RNAcentral is "bacterial SSU rRNA". It matches the Rfam family "Bacterial small subunit ribosomal RNA", at positions 356 to 774 of the family's 1533-position model. The record is from RNAcentral.